This 894-nucleotide ribosomal RNA is filed under the name uncultured bacterium. RNAcentral describes it as "bacterial SSU rRNA". It matches the Rfam family "Bacterial small subunit ribosomal RNA", at positions 602 to 1505 of the family's 1533-position model. The record is from RNAcentral.
GAGAGGCUCAACCUCUUCGAGCCGUUGAAACUGGUUUUCUUGAGUGAGCGAGAAGUAUGCGGAAUGCGUGGUGUAGCGGUGAAAUGCAUAGAUAUCACGCAGAACUCCGAUUGCGAAGGCAGCAUACCGGCGCUCAACUGACGCUCAUGCACGAAAGUGUGGGUAUCGAACAGGAUUAGAUACCCUGGUAGUCCACACAGUAAACGAUGAAUACUAAUUGUUCGGGGAGAAUGAUCCCUGAGUGAUACAGCGAAAGCGUUAAGUAUUCCACCUGGGGAGUACGCCGGCAACGGUGAAACUCAAAGGAAUUGACGGGGGCCCGCACAAGCGGAGGAACAUGUGGUUUAAUUCGAUGAUACACGAGGAACCUUACCCGGGCUCAAACGACACAGGAAUACUUUUGAAAGGAGGUAGCUCUACGGAGUCUGUGUCGAGGUGCUGCAUGGUUGUCGUCAGCUCGUGCCGUGAGGUGUCGGCUUAAGUGCCAUAACGAGCGCAACCCCCAUCGCCAGUUACCAGCAAGUCAAGUUGGGGACUCUGGCGAGACUGCCGGCGCAAGCUGUGAGGAAGGCGGGGAUGACGUCAAAUCAGCACGGCCCUUACGUCCGGGGCGACACACGUGUUACAAUGGCAGGUACAGAGAGAAGCAAUGCGGCGACGCAAAGCGGAACUUGAAAGCCUGUCUCAGUUCGGAUUGGAGUCUGCAACUCGACUCCAUGAAGCUGGAUUCGCUAGUAAUCGCGCAUCAGCCAUGGCGCGGUGAAUACGUUCCCGGGCCUUGUACACACCGCCCGUCAAGCCAUGGAAGCCGGGAGUGCCUGAAGUGUGCAACCGCAAGGAGCGCCCUAAGGUAAAACUGGUGACUGGGGCUAAGUCGUAACAAGGUAACCGUAA